This 497-nucleotide ribosomal RNA is filed under the name uncultured Sphingobacteriales bacterium. RNAcentral's name for it is "bacterial SSU rRNA". It matches the Rfam family "Bacterial small subunit ribosomal RNA", at positions 885 to 1382 of the family's 1533-position model. Lineage: Bacteria; Pseudomonadati; Bacteroidota; Sphingobacteriia; Sphingobacteriales. The record is from RNAcentral.
GCCAGCCCGCUCAGAAACUCAAAGGAAUUGACGGGGCCCGCACAAGCGGAGGAGCAUGUGGUUAAUUCGAUGAUACGCGAGGAACCUUACCUGGGCUCGAACGUAAGAUGACUGUAGGUGAAAGCUUACAUCUCUUCGGAGCAUUUUACGAGGUGCUGCAUGGUUGUCGUCAGCUCGUGCCGUGAGGUGUCGGGUUAAGUCCCAUAACGAGCGCAACCCCUACCUUUAGUUGCCAUCAGGUUAAGCUGGGGACUCUAAAGGAACUGCCUACGCAAGUAGUGAGGAAGGCGGGGAUGACGUCAAAUCAGCACGGCCCUUACGUCCAGGGCUACACACGUGCUACAAUGGCCGAUACAGAGGGCAGCUACCUGGUGACAGGAUGCAAAUCUCCAAAGUCGGUCUCAGUUCGGAUCGGAGUCUGCAACCCGACUCCGUGAAGUUGGAUUCGCUAGUAAUCGCGCAUCAGCCAUGGCGCGGUGAAUACGUUCCCGGGCCUU